RNAcentral lists this ribosomal RNA (497 nucleotides) under uncultured bacterium. RNAcentral describes it as "partial 16S ribosomal RNA". It matches the Rfam family "Bacterial small subunit ribosomal RNA", at positions 28 to 507 of the family's 1533-position model. The record is from RNAcentral.
GAUGAACGCUGGCGGCGUGCCUAAUACAUGCAAGUCGAGCGAACGGACGAGAAGCUUGCUUCUCUGAUGUUAGCGGCGGACGGGUGAGUAACACGUGGAUAACCUACCUAUAAGACUGGGAUAACUUCGGGAAACCGUAGCUAAUACCGGAUAAUAUUUUGAACCGCAUGGUUCAAAAGUGAAAGACGAUCUUGCUGUCACUUAUAGAUGGAUCCGCGCUGCAUUAGCUAGUUGGUAAGGUAACGGCUUACCAAGGCAACGAUGCAUAGCCGACCUGAGAGGGUGAUCGGCCACACUGGAACUGAGACACGGUCCAGACUCCUACGGGAGGCAGCAGUAGGGAAUCUUCCGCAAUGGGCGAAAGCCUGACGGAGCAACGCCGCGUGAGUGAUGAAGGUCUUCGGAUCGUAAAACUCUGUUAUUAGGGAAGAACAUAUGUGUAAGUAACUGUGCACAUCUUGACGGUACCUAAUCAGAAAGCCACGGCUAACUACGUG